GGCCCAGUAGUUCAGUUGGUUAGACCGCCAGCCUGUCACGCUGGAGGUCGACGGUUCGCGCCCGUUCUGGGUCGCCA
This 77-nucleotide transfer RNA is filed under the name Clostridiales bacterium. RNAcentral's name for it is "tRNA-Asp". It matches the Rfam family "tRNA". Rfam says of the family: Transfer RNA (tRNA) molecules are approximately 80 nucleotides in length. Their secondary structure includes four short double-helical elements and three loops (D, anti-codon, and T loops). The record is from RNAcentral. Lineage: Bacteria; Bacillati; Bacillota; Clostridia; Eubacteriales.